This 378-nucleotide unclassified non-coding RNA is filed under the name plant metagenome. Its description in RNAcentral is "partial contains 5.8S ribosomal RNA, internal transcribed spacer 2, and large subunit ribosomal RNA". The stretch from base 1 to 105 matches the Rfam family "5.8S ribosomal RNA", at positions 50 to 154 of the family's 154-position model. The record is from RNAcentral.
GAAAUGCGAUAAGUAAUGUGAAUUGCAGAAUUCAGUGAAUCAUCGAAUCUUUGAACACACCUUGCGCUCCUUGGUAUUCCUUGGAGCAUGCCUGUUUGAGUAUCAUGAAAUCUUCAAAGUAAAUCUUUUGUUAACUCAAUUGGUUUCUACUUUGGUAUUGGAGGUCUUUGCAGCUUCACACCUGCUCCUCUUUGUUCAUUAGCUGGAUCUCAGUGUUAUGCUUGGUUCCACUCGGCGUGAUAAGUUAUCUAUCGCUGAGGACACUGUAAAAGGUGGCCAAGGUAAAUGCAGAUGAACCGCUUCUAAUAGUCCAUUGACUUGGACAAUACUUUUAUGAUCCGAUCUCAAAUCAGGUAGGACUACCCGCUGAACUUAAGC